Non-coding RNA from Oncorhynchus mykiss (rainbow trout), 1649 nucleotides. The record is from RefSeq and is a predicted model, not a curated record. Lineage: Eukaryota; Metazoa; Chordata; Actinopteri; Salmoniformes; Salmonidae.
AUCAACCACUUUUUAAUACAUGCCGAAUACUGUAUUCUGUCUCCCCCUCCCCCCAUGGCCCACUGAAGAACAAAAUAGCCCUGUGCCCUCUGAAGAACUGAAGCCCCUUGUCCUCUGCCCUCUGAAGAACAGGACAGCCCUGUGCACCUCUGAAGGGCUCUGACCACUACAAGGACAGCCCUGUGCCCCUCUGAAGAACCAUUUAAUCUACUGGCACAUUGAAUGUUUCCUCUCCAAGCACUUCAAAUCCUGUCCUGUCCUUAGCGGAGGAGUUGGGCUCUUCUCCAACAUCAUCCAUCCAUGAUUAACUUUUUUCUGCACUGAAGCCUCUGAACACCUCAACCCUGUCCUGCACUGAAGUCAAGCCUCCAAACACCUACUCAUGCCUCAUACAAUCACUGCUGCCCUUCCCAACAGUGUAAGAUGCUCUCAUUCCUAUUCCCCAUAAUAGUUUACUAUAAAUGUCUUUUAUAAACAUUUUCGGUUAAAAUAAUUUGUCUUUGAUGAUUUUUCAAAUGCGCUUUGUUGUUCGGUCCGAGCCUAUAACGUAGGUCUUCCAUCCUCCUCACUCUUUCAAGUCACCAGCCUCCACUGGUUUCUAUACAUGAGGCCAUCUUGAUCUCGAUGUCCAGCCUGAGGAAGAAAAUCGCAGCCACAUUUCCAGACAAGGCCAAAGGUUCGUAACAGGAAGUGGCCACUGACAAACCAUCACUGAAAGGAAGUCAAAAGGACUAAUAGUUCACACCUUUUAUACACUUCUGGGAUCAAAUGAAUGGACAUUCUGUACCAUCAGCAUUUUUUAUUCAAGGAUAGAAGAUCACAGCACAAGUGAAGAACCAUAAGAUGUUCUUGGAGGUACUCCUUGUCUUUUGUAUCAGGUCAGUAGGUGUGUUCCAUCUAUAUCCACUGUUACCCUUUUGUCUUAUGUUUCUACUAUCCCCUGUGUAUAGGAUUCCAUGCGAAUUUAAACAUGUACAUGCAUCUUUUAUCAAACGUUAUUUGUUCUCAAGACACACAUUACAGAACAUUCAUGAAGAAUAACAAGUCAAUCAGCACAAUGCUAACAAUAAAUAACGCAAUACAUUCUUUUGGAUCGUUCAGACUCCAACAGCUGCAUGCCUCAGGAUGUCACAGAGGUAAAGGGUCAAAGAUGACGAGACAAUGUUUGUGUCAUGGUUUGACAGGAUAAAACAAACUCUGCAUCCAGUACAGCACAGUUGUGUGAAUGCCUUAAUCUCACACACCCCUACAUUCAACAGGAACGUUAUGAUUCCAUUGGGUUGGCACGAGCCAACCUACAGUGCUAUAAAUGUAAGCUUAAAGUUUUCUGUUGGUAUUUUUACUGUGUUAAGUGAAAGCCACACAAGGUUGGAUUGGAUAACGUAAUGCAACAAACAUGUCACUUAAUUUGAGCCAUACUGUCUAUAAGCAUAUGUCUCUGAAAUGAAUUCCUUUAACGUCUAGGAUAAUACAAUCUCCCCUCAGUAUGAGAAAGUUGAUAUUAUAUUGUAUUAUAACAUUUGCUUUUGAGGACUUUUUUAAAACAAACAUUAGAAACAUGUAAAAAUAUUUUUUGUUUGUUUAUAUUUACAUUAAACAUCAGUUGCCCUAUAAUUAGAAAUGUGUUUUUUAUUUUACCAAACUAGCUA